RNAcentral lists this ribosomal RNA (305 nucleotides) under uncultured bacterium. RNAcentral's name for it is "bacterial SSU rRNA". It matches the Rfam family "Bacterial small subunit ribosomal RNA", at positions 338 to 643 of the family's 1533-position model. The record is from RNAcentral.
CCCGGGGGGCAGCAGUGAGGAAUAUUGGUCAAUGGGCGGGAGCCUGAACCAGCCAAGCCGCGUGAGGGAAGAAGGUACAGCGUAUCGUAAACCUCUUUUGUCAGGGAACAAAGGCGGGGACUAGUCCCCGGAUGAGGGUACCUGAAGAAAAAGCAUCGGUUAACUCCGUGCCAGCAGCCGCGGUAAUACGGAGGAUGCGAGCGUUAUCCGGAUUUAUUGGGUUUAAAGGGUGCGUAGGCGGAAUGCCAAGUCAGCGGUAAAAUCGCGGGGCUCAACCUCGCUCCGCCGUUGAAACUGGCGUUCUU